This 1188-nucleotide ribosomal RNA is filed under the name Triticum aestivum (bread wheat). RNAcentral's name for it is "partial small subunit ribosomal RNA". Lineage: Eukaryota; Viridiplantae; Streptophyta; Magnoliopsida; Poales; Poaceae. The record is from RNAcentral.
AUGCUAACCUCGCUGAGGACAUUGAUUGUAAAAGAAUCAGUUGGUCUAGUUGGACCACUAGGAGGAGGUCAGAGUGAUGUGGAAUGGCAGCUCCCUGUUGAGUAUAUCAAGAUCUACAAAUUAAAUGGUAAUACUGGCAAGGAACUGACAGAGCUCCUCCCCCACCUCCCAAAGCUCUCCAAAUUGGUAAUAUGGUGGUGUAAAAGCAUAAAAAAGCUGGUAGUGGGGGUGGAUGUGCAACAAACAACACAAGAAGCAUCAGAGAUGGGGGGAGGUGAAAUAACAGCAGCAGCAGAGGAAGAGGAUGAUGGGGUGCUGCUCCUCCCAGCUCAUCUCUGUGACUCACUACGGGAAUUGUGGUUCAAUUACUGCCCAGAGCUGGUCCUGGUUGACCCUCCAACUCUUGUUCCUGGUGGAGGAUGGCUCCAAGCCUUGCGAUCCCUCCAGAGAUUAACAAUACGGUGGUCCCCAAAGUUUCUAUCCACCUUCUCCUUUUCCCGUUACCUUUUUCCUUCCUCCCUGCAGUUCCUGGAGCUUGUGGGUGUGCAAGGUAUGGGAACACUGGAGCCCCUCUCAAACCUCUCCUCUCUUAUCAGAUUAGAAUUGGGUAAUUGUGGAGAGGAUCUGAAAUGUCAGGUCUUGUGGUCUCUCAUUACCACCGGCGGCCAACUCAAGGAAUUAGAAGUCAGGGGCAGCCAUAGAUUUUUUGCUGAUCGGGAUCCCAAUCCCAGACGGGCUUUGGAGGAUGCUGAGGGAGGUGAAGAGCAGCAGACACAGAUUGUUUCAUCCACACUGCAUGAGCUCGGGACAGAUGACAUAGCAGGAUUUCUUGCUGCACCUGUCUGUAGAUUCCUCUCUUCCUCCCUCACCAAGCUGAAACUUCGAGGGAAUUGGUGUGAAGGGAUGGAGCGGUUCAGCAAGGAGCAAGAGGACGCCCUUCAACUCCUCUCCUCCCUCCAGGAACUUGACUUUUCAUGUUUCAAGGACCUUCACCAACUCCCUGCAGGGAUGAGCAACCUUACCAGCCUCAAGAAAUUAACAAUCUAUGAAUGUCCAGCCCUCUCAUCAUUGCCCAAGGAUGGCCUCCCCAAAUCACUGCAAGAGCUAAAUGUCGGAUUGUGCAGCAACCAGCAGAUAAGACGGGAGUGCCGCGGAUUAGAGGGAACCAUCCCGAAAAUCGUACUAUAA